CACAAUCUAGAUGGACAACACGUGCUACGAGUUCAUGUGCCUUUCUUUUCCUCAACGAUAAACAUCAUUCCUACUUCCUCUUCCACCUCUUCAUUUGCCUCAAAGACUGACCUCCAUCCACUCACCCAAAGGUCAAAAUCUACACUUUUCCAAUAGCUUCAGAGAGAUUGCUGUGAAACCCACCGACCUCGAAUUGAAUUCCUUGGUUACUUGCAGCUAUCUCUAGAAAGGACUCCAUGAGUGGACAUGGUAGUGAGAUACCAGAAUUGUCUUGAGCAGACAAUGUUUGGAGCUUUGUUUUGCUUGUGAAGUGUGUGCUGGACCUUGCUUUUCUUGUUUAAAUGAUUGCUCCCUGGUGCUGGUUGUUCCUCAUUCCAGAAUUUUGUUCUUUUUGUGUUUGCAAUGUACAUAUGUUGUAAAUGACUGAAGUGUUAAUCUGGAGCAUUCUUUUGUAAUGGAAAACUUUGUAAGCAAGUUGCUCUUUUGAGCUUUUAAAAAGGAAUUACUUUUCUCUCA
Rosa chinensis is the source of this 516-nucleotide long non-coding RNA. RefSeq lists it as uncharacterized. The transcript is spliced from 2 exons. The record is from RefSeq and is a predicted model, not a curated record. Lineage: Eukaryota; Viridiplantae; Streptophyta; Magnoliopsida; Rosales; Rosaceae.